RNAcentral lists this ribosomal RNA (498 nucleotides) under uncultured bacterium. RNAcentral's name for it is "partial 16S ribosomal RNA". It matches the Rfam family "Bacterial small subunit ribosomal RNA", at positions 28 to 508 of the family's 1533-position model. The record is from RNAcentral.
GAUGAACGCUGGCGGCGUGCCUAAUACAUGCAAGUCGAGCGAACAGACGAGGAGCUUGCUCCUCUGACGUUAGCGGCGGACGGGUGAGUAACACGUGGAUAACCUACCUAUAAGACUGGGAUAACUUCGGGAAACCGGAGCUAAUACCGGAUAAUAUAUUGAACCGCAUGGUUCAAUAGUGAAAGACGGUUUUGCUGUCACUUAUAGAUGGAUCCGCGCCGCAUUAGCUAGUUGGUAAGGUAACGGCUUACCAAGGCAACGAUGCGUAGCCGACCUGAGAGGGUGAUCGGCCACACUGGAACUGAGACACGGUCCAGACUCCUACGGGAGGCAGCAGUAGGGAAUCUUCCGCAAUGGGCGAAAGCUUGACGGAGCAACGCCGCGUGAGUGAUGAAGGUCUUCGGAUCGUAAAACUCUGUUAUUAGGGAAGAACAAAUGUGUAAGUAACUAGGCACGUCUUGACGGUACCUAAUCAGAAAGCCACGGCUAACUACGUGC